RNAcentral lists this ribosomal RNA (254 nucleotides) under uncultured bacterium. Its description in RNAcentral is "partial 16S ribosomal RNA". It matches the Rfam family "Bacterial small subunit ribosomal RNA", at positions 524 to 776 of the family's 1533-position model. The record is from RNAcentral.
UACGUAGGGAGCAAGCGUUGUCCGGAAUCAUUGGGCGUAAAGCGCGCGUAGGCGGCCCGAUAAGUCCGCUGUAAAAGUCAAACGGCUCAACUGUUGAAAGCCGGUGGAUACUGUCGGGCUAGAGUACGGAAGAGGCAAGUGGAAUUCCUGGUGUAGCGGUGGAAUGCGCAGAUAUCAGGAGGAACACCCAUAGCGAAGGCAGCUUGCUGGGACGUUACUGACGCUAAGGCGCGAAAGCGUGGGGAGCGAACAGG